CCCUUAGAUGUUCUGGGCCGCACGCGCGCUACACUGACGAAUGCAACGAGCUUAUAACCUUGGCCGAAAGGUCUGGGUAAUCUCCAAAUUUCGUCGUGAUGGGGAUAGAUUAUUGCAAUUAUUAAUCUUCAACGAGGAAUGCCUAGUAAGCGCAAGUCAUCAGCUUGCGUUGAUUACGUCCCUGCCCUUUGUACACACCGCCCGUCGCUCCUACCGAUUGAAUGGUCCGGUGAAGCGUUCGGACCGUUUGCAUAGAUGGUUCGCCAUCUUUGCGAAUGGAAAGUCGAGUGAACCUUACUGCUUAGAUGAAGGAGAAGUCGUAACA
RNAcentral lists this ribosomal RNA (325 nucleotides) under uncultured eukaryote. Its description in RNAcentral is "partial 18S ribosomal RNA". It matches the Rfam family "Eukaryotic small subunit ribosomal RNA", at positions 1470 to 1796 of the family's 1831-position model. The record is from RNAcentral.